GGGUUGUGAGGUUAAGCGACUAAGCGUACACGGUGGAUGCCCUGGCAGUCAGAGGCGAUGAAGGGCGUGCUAAUCUGCGAUAAGCGCCGGUAAGGUGAUAUGAACCGUUAUAACCGGCGAUACCCGAAUGGGGAAACCCAGUGUGACUCGUCACACUAUCAUUAACUGAAUCCAUAGGUUAAUGAGGCGAACCGGGGGAACUGAAACAUCUAAGUACCCCGAGGAAAAGAAAUCAACCGAGAUUCCCCCAGUAGCGGCGAGCGAACGGGGAGGAGCCCAGAGCCUGAAUCAGCAUGUGUGUUAGUGGAAGCGUCUGGAAAGGCGCGCGAUACAGGGUGACAGCCCCGUACACAAAAGCGCAUGUGCUGUGAGCUCGAUGAGUAGGGCGGGACACGUGGUAUCCUGUCUGAAUAUGGGGGGACCAUCCUCCAAGGCUAAAUACUCCUGACUGACCGAUAGUGAACCAGUACCGUGAGGGAAAGGCGAAAAGAACCCCGGCGAGGGGAGUGAAAAAGAACCUGAAACCGUGUACGUACAAGCAGUGGGAGCACCCUUUGGGUGUGACUGCGUACCUUUUGUAUAAUGGGUCAGCGACUUAUAUUCUGUAGCAAGGUUAACCGAAUAGGGGAGCCGGAGGGAAACCGAGUCUUAACCGGGCGUUAAGUUGCAGGGUAUAGACCCGAAACCCGGUGAUCUAGCCAUGGGCAGGUUGAAGGUUGGGUAACACUAACUGGAGGACCGAACCGACUAAUGUUGAAAAAUUAGCGGAUGACCUGUGGCUGGGGGUGAAAGGCCAAUCAAACCGGGAGAUAGCUGGUUCUCCCCGAAAGCUAUUUAGGUAGCGCCUCGUGAAUUCAUCUCCGGGGGUAGAGCACUGUUUCGGCUAGGGGGCCAUCCCGGCUUACCAACCCGAUGCAAACUGCGAAUACCGGAGAAUGUUAUCACGGGAGACACACGGCGGGUGCUAACGUCCGUCGUGAAGAGGGAAACAACCCAGACCGCCAGCUAAGGUCCCAAAGUCAUGGUUAAGUGGGAAACGAUGUGGGAAGGCCCAGACAGCCAGGAUGUUGGCUUAGAAGCAGCCAUCAUUUAAAGAAAGCGUAAUAGCUCACUGGUCGAGUCGGCCUGCGCGGAAGAUGUAACGGGGCUAAACCAUGCACCGAAGCUGCGGCAGCGACACUGUGUGUUGUUGGGUAGGGGAGCGUUCUGUAAGCCUGUGAAGGUGUGUCGUGAGGCAUGCUGGAGGUAUCAGAAGUGCGAAUGCUGACAUAAGUAACGAUAAAGCGGGUGAAAAGCCCGCUCGCCGGAAGACCAAGGGUUCCUGUCCAACGUUAAUCGGGGCAGGGUGAGUCGACCCCUAAGGCGAGGCCGAAAGGCGUAGUCGAUGGGAAACGGGUUAAUAUUCCCGUACUUGGUGUUACUGCGAAGGGGGGACGGAGAAGGCUAUGUUGGCCGGGCGACGGUUGUCCCGGUUUAAGCGUGUAGGUGUGUGUUCCAGGUAAAUCCGGUUCACUUUAACACUGAGGCGUGACGACGAGGCACUACGGUGCUGAAGCAACAAAUGCCCUGCUUCCAGGAAAAGCCUCUAAGCAUCAGGUAACAUCAAAUCGUACCCCAAACCGACACAGGUGGUCAGGUAGAGAAUACCAAGGCGCUUGAGAGAACUCGGGUGAAGGAACUAGGCAAAAUGGUGCCGUAACUUCGGGAGAAGGCACGCUGACACGUAGGUGAAGUGAUUUACUCAUGGAGCUGAAGUCAGUCGAAGAUACCAGCUGGCUGCAACUGUUUAUUAAAAACACAGCACUGUGCAAACACGAAAGUGGACGUAUACGGUGUGACGCCUGCCCGGUGCCGGAAGGUUAAUUGAUGGGGUCAGCGCAAGCGAAGCUCCUGAUCGAAGCCCCGGUAAACGGCGGCCGUAACUAUAACGGUCCUAAGGUAGCGAAAUUCCUUGUCGGGUAAGUUCCGACCUGCACGAAUGGCGUAAUGAUGGCCAGGCUGUCUCCACCCGAGACUCAGUGAAAUUGAACUCGCUGUGAAGAUGCAGUGUACCCGCGGCAAGACGGAAAGACCCCGUGAACCUUUACUAUAGCUUGACACUGAACAUUGAGCCUUGAUGUGUAGGAUAGGUGGGAGGCUUUGAAGUGUGGACGCCAGUCUGCAUGGAGCCGACCUUGAAAUACCACCCUUUAAUGUUUGAUGUUCUAACGUGGACCCGUUACCCGGGUUGCGGACAGUGUCUGGUGGGUAGUUUGACUGGGGCGGUCUCCUCCUAAAGAGUAACGGAGGAGCACGAAGGUUGGCUAAUCCUGGUCGGACAUCAGGAGGUUAGUGCAAUGGCAUAAGCCAGCUUGACUGCGAGCGUGACGGCGCGAGCAGGUGCGAAAGCAGGUCAUAGUGAUCCGGUGGUUCUGAAUGGAAGGGCCAUCGCUCAACGGAUAAAAGGUACUCCGGGGAUAACAGGCUGAUACCGCCCAAGAGUUCAUAUCGACGGCGGUGUUUGGCACCUCGAUGUCGGCUCAUCACAUCCUGGGGCUGAAGUAGGUCCCAAGGGUAUGGCUGUUCGCCAUUUAAAGUGGUACGCGAGCUGGGUUUAGAACGUCGUGAGACAGUUCGGUCCCUAUCUGCCGUGGGCGCUGGAGAACUGAGGGGGGCUGCUCCUAGUACGAGAGGACCGGAGUGGACGCAUCACUGGUGUUCGGGUUGUCAUGCCAAUGGCACUGCCCGGUAGCUAAAUGCGGAAGAGAUAAGUGCUGAAAGCAUCUAAGCACGAAACUUGCCCCGAGAUGAGUUCUCCCUGAGACUUAGAGUCUCCUGAAGGAACGUUGAAGACGACGACGUUGAUAGGCCGGGUGUGUAAGCGCAGCGAUGCGUUGAGCUAACCGGUACUAAUGAACCGUGAGGCUUAACCUUACAACGCCGAAG
Molecule: ribosomal RNA, 2925 nt
Filed under: Salmonella enterica subsp. enterica
Lineage: Bacteria; Pseudomonadati; Pseudomonadota; Gammaproteobacteria; Enterobacterales; Enterobacteriaceae
Also listed under: 5 other names
Description: bacterial LSU rRNA
Rfam family: Bacterial large subunit ribosomal RNA
Source: RNAcentral